GUGGGUAGAGCUCAGAGGCAGAGCAUGUGCUUGGUGUGCACAAGGUCCUGGGAUCAAUCCCUAGUGUCUCUG
This 72-nucleotide transfer RNA is filed under the name Camelus bactrianus (Bactrian camel). It matches the Rfam family "tRNA". From Rfam's summary of the family: Transfer RNA (tRNA) molecules are approximately 80 nucleotides in length. Their secondary structure includes four short double-helical elements and three loops (D, anti-codon, and T loops). RNAcentral also lists the same sequence under 2 other names. The record is from Rfam by way of RNAcentral. Lineage: Eukaryota; Metazoa; Chordata; Mammalia; Artiodactyla; Camelidae.